This 404-nucleotide ribosomal RNA is filed under the name uncultured prokaryote. Its description in RNAcentral is "bacterial SSU rRNA". It matches the Rfam family "Bacterial small subunit ribosomal RNA", at positions 355 to 776 of the family's 1533-position model. The record is from RNAcentral. RNAcentral also lists the same sequence under 1 other name.
UGGGGAAUAUUGCACAAUGGGCGCAAGCCUGAUGCAGCAACGCCGCGUGAGUGAUGAAGGUCUUCGGAUUGUAAAGCUCUGUCUUUUGGGACGAUAAUGACGGUACCAAAGGAGGAAGCCACGGCUAACUACGUGCCAGCAGCCGCGGUAAUACGUAGGUGGCAAGCGUUGUCCGGAUUUACUGGGCGUAAAGGGUGCGUAGGUGGAUAUUUAAGUCAGAUGUGAAACCCCUGGGCUCAACUCAGGGACUGCAUUUGAAACUGGAUAUCUGGAGUGCAGGAGAGGUAAGUGGAAUUCCUAGUGUAGCGGUGAAAUGCGUAGAGAUUAGGAAGAACACCAGUGGCGAAGGCGACUUACUGGACUGUAACUGACACUGAGGCACGAAAGCGUGGGUAGCAAACAGG